UAGAGUUUGAUCCUGGCUCAGAACGAACGCUGGCGGCAGGCUUAACACAUGCAAGUCGAACGCACCCUUCGGGGUGAGUGGCAGACGGGUGAGUAACGCGUGGGAACGUGCCCUUCAGUUUGGAAUAACCCAGGGAAACUUGGGCUAAUACCGGAUACGCCCUAACGGGGAAAGAUUUAUCGCUGAAGGAUCGGCCCGCGUCUGAUUAGCUAGUUGGUGAGGUAAAGGCUCACCAAGGCGACGAUCAGUAGCUGGUCUGAGAGGAUGAUCAGCCACACUGGGACUGAGACACGGCCCAGACUCCUACGGGAGGCAGCAGUGGGGAAUAUUGGACAAUGGGCGCAAGCCUGAUCCAGCCAUGCCGCGUGAGUGAUGAAGGCCUUAGGGUUGUAAAGCUCUUUCGGCGGGGACGAUAAUGACGGUACCCGCAGAAGAAGCCCCGGCUAACUUCGUGCCAGCAGCCGCGGUAAUA
RNAcentral lists this ribosomal RNA (472 nucleotides) under uncultured bacterium. RNAcentral's name for it is "bacterial SSU rRNA". It matches the Rfam family "Bacterial small subunit ribosomal RNA", at positions 1 to 525 of the family's 1533-position model. The record is from RNAcentral.